CCUACGGGAGGCAGCAGUGAGGAAUAUUGGACAAUGGGCGCAAGCCUGAUCCAGCCAUGCCGCGUGCAGGAUGACGGUCCUAUGGAUUGUAAACUGCUUUUGCACAGGAAGAAACAACAUUACGUGUAAUGUCUUGACGGUACUGUGAGAAUAAGGAUCGGCUAACUCCGUGCCAGCAGCCGCGGUAAUACGGAGGAUCCAAGCGUUAUCCGGAAUCAUUGGGUUUAAAGGGUCCGUAGGCGGUUUAGUAAGUCAGUGGUGAAAGCCCAUCGCUCAACGGUGGAACGGCCAUUGAUACUGCUAGACUUGAAUUAUUAGGAAGUAACUAGAAUAUGUAGUGUAGCGGUGAAAUGCUUAGAGAUUACAUGGAAUACCAAUUGCGAAGGCAGGUUACUACUAAUGGAUUGACGCUGAUGGACGAAAGCGUGGGUAGCGAACAGGAUUAGAUACCCUGGUAGUCCACGCCGUAAACGAUGGAUACUAGCUGUUGGGAGCAAUCUCAGUGGCUAAGCGAAAGUGAUAAGUAUCCCACCUGGGGAGUACGUUGCAAGAAUGAAACUCAAAGGAAUUGACGG
RNAcentral lists this ribosomal RNA (575 nucleotides) under uncultured bacterium. RNAcentral describes it as "bacterial SSU rRNA". It matches the Rfam family "Bacterial small subunit ribosomal RNA", at positions 338 to 916 of the family's 1533-position model. The record is from RNAcentral.